RNAcentral lists this ribosomal RNA (376 nucleotides) under uncultured bacterium. RNAcentral's name for it is "bacterial SSU rRNA". It matches the Rfam family "Bacterial small subunit ribosomal RNA", at positions 523 to 898 of the family's 1533-position model. The record is from RNAcentral.
AUACGUAGGUGGCGAGCGUUACUCGGAAUUACUAGGCGUAAAGCGUAUGUAGGCGGUUGUAUAAGUCUAUGGUGAAAUUUCCCGGCUCAACUGGGAAGGGACAUAGAUACUGUAUGGCUUGAGUGUUGGAGGGGGAGACGGAAUUCCUGGUGUAGCGGUGAAAUGCGUAGAUAUCAGGAGGAACACCGAUGGCGAAAGCAGUCUCCUGGCCAAAUACUGACGCUGAGGUACGAAAGCUAGGGUAGCAAACAGGAUUAGAUACCCUGGUAGUCCUAGCUGUAAACGAUGUUCACUAGAUGUGGGAGGUAUCGACCCCUUCCGCGUCGACGCUAACGCAUUAAGUGAACCGCCUGGGGAGUACGGCCGCAAGGUUGAA